GGGCGGUUAGCUCAGUUGGUUUAGAGCGUUGCGUUGACAUCGCAGAGGUCGCUGGUUCGAACCCAGUACCGCCCACGA
Molecule: transfer RNA, 78 nt
Filed under: Kaistella daneshvariae
Lineage: Bacteria; Pseudomonadati; Bacteroidota; Flavobacteriia; Flavobacteriales; Weeksellaceae
Description: Chryseobacterium sp. H3056 tRNA-Val
Rfam family: tRNA
About the family: Transfer RNA (tRNA) molecules are approximately 80 nucleotides in length. Their secondary structure includes four short double-helical elements and three loops (D, anti-codon, and T loops).
Source: RNAcentral